GCUGAGAAGCCCACCCAAGAAGGCAAAAGCCAUGAACUUGUCCUCUUGUGUUGCAGAUUCAGGGGCUCUUACCUUUGACUCCGUUGGACGGACACUAGGCUCAGGCCUUGCUGUGGACUCAGGACAAUCCAGAACCCAGAAAGAGAUGAUCGAUGCCCGGGCUGCCCGGGGCCCAGCCCAGUCCAGUAGGUGUGGCCCCAAGGGGGACCUUUUGGUUUCUUUGAGCCCUGACUGUGCUGCUUCCCUCCCUCCCCUGCCCCCUAGCUCUGACUGACAGUGCCCUGAGGGGGUCACUUUGUAAGAUCCAUCUCUGGUUGUGCAGGGCUGAUAAGUGCUGCUCUCUGAAGGCCACCUCCCAGGAGGCCCAGUCCCCUCCACUGUCCCCCUCCCCACGGUGUGGCCAGACAUGUGGCAGGUGUUCAGGGAAGGUGUGAGGCAUAGUGUUGAGACAGGUAGAGGAUGUCAUGAUGCCUGCCUGGGGAGCAGGAGGUUGGCCUCUGCCUCCAG
This 507-nucleotide long non-coding RNA is filed under the name Vombatus ursinus (common wombat). RNAcentral's name for it is "lncRNA (ENSVURG00010022846.1)". The record is from RNAcentral. Lineage: Eukaryota; Metazoa; Chordata; Mammalia; Diprotodontia; Vombatidae.